GAUGAACGCUGGCGGCGUGCCUAAUACAUGCAAGUCGAGCGAACGGACGAGAAGCUUGCUUUUCUGAUGUUAGCGGCGGACGGGUGAGUAACACGUGGAUAACCUACCUAUAAGACUGGGAUAACUUCGGGAAACCGGAGCUAAUACCGGAUAAUAUUUUGAACCGCAUGGUUCAAAAGUGAAAGACGGUCUUGCUGUCACUUAUCGAUGGAUCCGCGCUGCAUUAGCUAGUUGGUAAGGUAACGGCUUACCAAGGCAACGAUGCAUAGCCGACCUGAGAGGGUGAUAGGCCACACUGGAACUGAGACGCGGUCCAGGCUCCUACGGGAGGCAGCAGUAGGGAAUCUUCCGCAAUGGGCGAAAGCCUGACGGAGCAACGCCGCGUGAGUGAUGAAGGUCUUCGGAUCGUAAAACUCUGUUAUUAGGGAAGAACAUAUGUGUAAGUAACUGUGCACAUCUUGACGGUACCUAAUCAGAAAGCCACGGCUAACUACGUG
This 497-nucleotide ribosomal RNA is filed under the name uncultured bacterium. RNAcentral describes it as "partial 16S ribosomal RNA". It matches the Rfam family "Bacterial small subunit ribosomal RNA", at positions 28 to 507 of the family's 1533-position model. The record is from RNAcentral.